RNAcentral lists this ribosomal RNA (460 nucleotides) under uncultured bacterium. RNAcentral's name for it is "partial 16S ribosomal RNA". It matches the Rfam family "Bacterial small subunit ribosomal RNA", at positions 338 to 795 of the family's 1533-position model. The record is from RNAcentral.
CCUACGGGAGGCAGCAGUGAGGAAUAUUGGUCAAUGGGCGCGAGCCUGAACCAGCCAAGUCGCGUGAAGGAUGAAUGCCCUACGGGUUGUAAACUUCUUUUAUAAAGGAAUAAAGUGUGGCACGCGUGCCUUUUUGUAUGUACUUUAUGAACAAGCAUCGGCUAACUCCGUGCCAGCAGCCGCGGUAAUACGGAGGAUCCGAGCGUUAUCCGGAUUUAUUGGGUUUAAAGGGAGCGUAGAUGGGUUGUUAAGUCAGUUGUGAAAGUUUGCGGCUCAACCGUAAAAUUGCAAUUGAGACUGGCAGCCUUGAGUACAGGUGAGGUAGGCGGAAUUCGUGGUGUAGCGGUGAAAUGCUUAGAUAUCACGAAGAACUCCGAUUGCGAAGGCAGCUUACUAAACUGCCACUGACAUUGAUGCUCGAAAGUGUGGGUAUCAAACAGGAUUAGAUACCCUAGUAGUC